UCGCACAUAUUAUUGAGACCAACUAGCAACAUAGAAAGCACAAUAGUGUACCAACAAUGGCAGCCAAAAUAUUUUGCCUCCUUAUGCUCCUUGGUCUUUCUGCAAGUGCUGCUACGGCGACCAUUUUCCCGCAAUGCUCGCAAGCUCCUAUAGCUUCCCUUCUUCCCCCGUACCUCUCACCAGCGGUGUCUUCGGUAUGUGAAAACCCAAUUCUUCAACCCUACAGGAUCCAACAGGCAAUCGCAGCUGGCAUCUUACCUUUAUCACCCUUGUUCCUCCAACAAUCAUCAGCCCUAUUACAACAGUUACCUUUGGUGCAUUUAUUGGCACAAAACAUCAGGGCACAACAACUACAACAACUUGUGCUAGCAAACCUUGCUGCCUACUCUCAGCAACAGCAGUUUCUUCCAUUCAACCAACUAGGUUCAUUGAACUCUGCUUCUUAUUUGCAACAACAACAACUACCAUUCAGCCAGCUACCUGCUGCCUACCCCCAGCAAUUUCUUCCAUUCAACCAACUAGCAGCAUUGAACUCUCCUGCUUAUUUACAGCAGCAACAACUACUACCAUUCAGCCAGCUAGCUGGUGUGAGCCCUGCUACCUUCUUGACACAACCACAGUUGUUGCCGUUCUACCAGCACGUUGCGCCUAACGCUGGCACCCUCUUACAACUGCAACAAUUGCUGCCAUUCAACCAACUUGCUUUGACAAACCCAGCAGUGUUCUACCAACAACCCAUCAUUGGUGGUGCCCUCUUUUAGAUUUCUUAUGAGUUAUAGUUCAAUAAUAAAGUUUUUUAUCUGAUGUUUGUGGCUUCCCAGAAAUAAGAAAGUACAUUUCUAGAUUCUUAUGUGCUUCUAGUCUUCAAAUGUGGUUGAUAGUUAUUGUUGGGGACUUGUUCUCAAAUGCUAAGAGUUAAGAACAAGGCAACAUAAAAAUGUUAAAUGCUAAAGUCCUUCGUCCUUCGAAGCAUUAUUUCCCUUAGGAUAUAAUGAAUUUCGGACGAAGGCUAUGAAGGACAUACCUUCAUAAGCACAACGAAUGAUGAAGAAGAAUUCAUAUAAAUUAUGAGAUAUAACAUAAACAUUUAAACAUUAUUAUUAACUCAUUUCUAUUGACUUGUCAGGGAAAAAUAGAAAUGAUAAUAAAUUACAAAUAUACCUUCGGCUUGAGAGAAGGUAAAGGUACAAGCGUGAGGCAAAAGCAAAUGCCAAGUCAGCGUGAACAGUACGGGAACACUGUUCAUCUAUUUAUAGGCACGGGACGCAGCCCAUGCAAAAUUACAUCCAGGCCCUUUGCUUUUGACAAUAACUCUAUAGUAAUCUAUCUGGGUCUAGAUAGUCUUUUCCUCUUUAAGUCGGUUUCCUCUUUUCUGCCAUCAUACCGAAGCUCCCUUGCGCACAGCUUCGGCUCUGCUCCAUCCUUCGUAUUGUUUCCGUGCUUCUUCAUACCGUGGGCUCUUGUUCGAAGAUCCCUAUCCACACAUUAUACUCCAGAGGCAUUGUUAAAUCAUGUUUUUGAGGACCUUCGGAAGUCGAAGGCCCCCAACAGUAGCCCCUCGCAAUAUUAAUUUAUUAGAAUGAUAAAUUUAGAUCGCGACAUGGACGAAGGCCUUAAGCCGAAGGUCCGAAAAAACACCUUCCCUUUGCUAGAAUAGCAACAAUCAAUGACAAGCGGGGCCCUUUCCCUUGCAACACACUAGGCGUAUAAAUAAGAGCAUACCGCGAGCGGAUUUGGCACGCUUUUUGCCAUCUGCUCUUGCUCACCCAACUUUUAGCCCUUGCACACCAACACCUGCUUGGCCUUUUUUUAAAAAAAUUUAAGCUUCGGUUUCGAGAGCACUUUCUCAGCAUUUUCGAAGAUGUCUGAAGAUAAGAAAGUUGUCGCUGAGUCGAAGCUGAGACUUUCUGAGGAGAUGAAUCUCGGCUUUCUUGAAUCAAUAGCGAAGACAAAUACAGAGAAGAUUACUAGGGAGAUUUUAGAAGGUUUAUCUGAAGACACUGGUGACAGUGACAGUUAUGAUGUGGAAAGUGGUGGUGAAGAUUCCGAAGAUCGACCCUGGUGACCAAGCCAUGCAGUUUUUGGAAAAUCAAGCAUUAAACUAAGCCAUCUUGUUAAUAUGAGGGGCAGAUAUUUUCGGGAUUUAUCUAUUGUGAGGGCUGAUGAAGGAGAAAAAACUUGUCCUACUCCUGAGGAAAAUGAAGUCGUGAUAUUCCGAAGCUUCUUCAAGGCUGGGCUUCGGUUUCCUUUAAGCGGUUUCGUGGUUGAAGUUUUGAAGAUUUUUGAAAUCUACCUCCAUCAAAUUACUCCUGAAGCAAUCAUAAGGAUGGGAAUCUUCGUAUGGGCUGUGAAGAGCCAAGGUUUGGAGCCGAAUGCAAAAAGUUUCUGCAAUAUGCAUGAGCUAUUAUACGAGACGAAACCUUGGGGUAAAGAGAAAUAUCAUAACAAUUUUGGCUGCUACAGCUUCGGCGCCCGCUCUGGGUCAAGCUGUCCCGUGCCAACUUUUUGGAAGAGAUGGCCCGGGGACUCGAUGAAGGAAUGGUGUUAUGUAAAAAACGACUUGAAAACGCGAGAAGGUAUUAAAGAUAUCAUCAUGCGCCCCAUCUGGCAGCGUUUCGGCCUUCGGAAACCGAAGGUGGAUAUUGACGAAGCAACCGAAGAAUGCCAGAGGGCCUUCGGCGUAGUUUGCUCUUUCAUCGGGACAAGGGAUUUGAUCCAGGAACAUAUUUCCUUCAGAGUAUGGCCACUUGUAGAAAAGUGGGAAAUGCCGAAGGAAACCAUCAGCAAACCUGAUGAAGUGGACUAGUUAGGUUAAAAUAUACCUUCAGAUAUGGAGAUAAGUUUGUGGAGCCAGAUGAUGACUGGCUGAAAUGUAUUGAGGCCACAAGCGAUGAACUGCUUGGGCCAUAUUCGAAGACAGAAGAUACUGCACUGUCCGCGGCCUUCGGAGGUCGGAAGAAGAGACUCAACCGAGUGUUUGAUGCCAUUGGGUUCGUCUAUCCUGACUACCGUUACCCAACACAGGGUCAGAAAGGGAAAGAUACGACUUCUGUGAAGAAAGUUGCUUCAGCCGCUCCUAGUGAGCCGGCGCCGAAGAGGAAAAAGAUGAAGGUUCUUACGCACCGGCCACGCUAUAUUGAACCGGCCACAGUGCCUGAGUUUGUCGGUGAGACCUCUUCGGCCACCGAAGCCAAGGAGCCGACUCUCCUGCCGAAUAUUGAAGAGCCGGCCAAAAUGCCGGCAAUGGAAAAAAUAGAAGAACCGAGGGCUGAAGAGACAAAGACAUCGGAAAAGAAUGGUUAACGUGCUAAUGCCGAAUAUUGAAGUCCUUCAGCAAGAAUCGAGGUGCUAAUGCCAAUGCCGAUGGCACAAAAAGACCUUACGACAACCCCCAAGAGGAAAAGAAUGGUUAACGUGCUAGAUGUACUGGAAACGAUAAAAUCUUCAAGCUCUACUCCGAAGAUAGCUACUGAAGUUCCAAAGACACAAACUGAGGCCAAAGCUGCCAAAAGUCAAGCGGAAACUGAAACUGGGCUUUCAGAGCCUACCAAGAGGGAAUUCUUGGAAAUUGAAAAAGAAACGGAAAAAGAAUCUGCAGAAGAAACUUUUUCUGAGAAAAUCGUCACACAUAUUCCCGAAGCAUCUUCUGAAGCUUCUGACUAUGUAUUACGUCAUGCUUCGGGUAAAAAUCUGAGCGAAAAAGAAAAAAGAGAAGCUCAAUUCUAUGCGCAAAAAUUGAAAUAUCCAAAAGGGGCGCUGAUAUUCAACGGCAGCGGAGAAGAAGACUUCUUGUAUUGUCUCCCUCAUAGCAAGGAGAUUUCUGUCUGUCGGGAGAUGAGCAAAAGCUUCGGAUUCCCAACAUUAGAAGACGGGCUCUUGGUGUUGUCAAAGGACGAGCUAGCCGACAGCUUAGCGUAUAAUAGUUUAAAGGUGAAGAAAAUGAGAUCUUUGUAUUAUUUCUUGAAACCAAAAUUUUUCAUUUGCUUAAACUUAUUAACGCAUUUUUUUACAGGGUCUUAUACUUAGCAAUGCCCUCAGGGCACAAAAGAAUGACGAAGACGAAGGGUGCGCCAUAGCCCUGAGCAACCUUCGUUCCGAAGUAAUUGAUCUAAGGAACGAAGGUCUCGAAAAAGAUAAAAUAUUACAUUCGUUGGUGAAUAAAAUAAAAGAAGAUGAAGCUACUUUCAAAGCUCAAGCUGAGGCUCAGAAGCACGAAAUUGAGAAUCUUCGGAAACAACUAGCCAGAGCUACAGAAGAAUACACAAUUGAAGAAACAAAACGAGAAAUUAGUGAACAAUGGGCAAAUCAUUUAGAAAAAAACGUUGAAGAGCUUCGUGCGUCCAAGAAAAGGUGUUAUGAAAAAUCUAUAGAAUGUGUUAAGAAAAUAAGAACCAGCUUCACCAACGUUGGCGCGUUUUCAAGUGAAGAAAAUUUCAUGAGGGGUGACCCCGAAAGCCCAAUUGGAUGGAUCAGCCACGAAGCUGAAGCUUUUGAAUAGCCGUGGAGACAUAUGUGCCUUCUCGGGUGCCAGGGGGAUUGCCGCUGUUUUGGAGAAGAAAGGUUGCGAUCACGUGAAAUCCCUGGCACAGACCGAAGCCGUUUUAUCCUCUGAAGACAUAAAAGACCCUUCGGCCGAGGCGAGUUUGGUUGGUGGGAAAUUUUUCACCGACAUCUGGGAAAACGGUGGCCGGGAGAUGGCUCAAGAAAUUAUACGGAGAAGCGAGAAUGGUAUACAUGACGCUAGAAAAGUAGCAGAGGCCGCUGAGAAAAGUGUGGAUCUCGAAGGGCGAAUAGGUAUUAACUAGUAAUUUUUGGCUUUUUGUUGUAACCUUUUGAUUUUGAACUUGUUUACACUUUGUAACAUGGUCGCACCUUCUCCUCCCUCAGAGCCUGCCGAGCCAUCGACAGACCCCCACGUAAAGGGGGAUGACGAGAUUAGAAGAAUGGCUGAAGCUAUCAUGGACAAAGUUGUUGAUCAAUUACUAAACGAAGCUGCAGAAAUAGUUCUAAGGGAAGAUUAGAUGUUAUUGUAAAAACAUUUGGAAUGUAAUAUUUGUUGAACAAUAUGUGUAAUAUUUUGUAACUUUGAAUGUAAUAUAUAAUCUAUUUGUGGUUCAAUUCUUUACGAUGCAUGAAACUUUACAUACAUACCGUUUUUGAGCCUUCGGCGAAAAAACACCUUCCCUUCUUUUCAUGCUUCGUAAAUAAUAUCCGUAUAUCAUAAAAACAUCCAAUUUUCGUAAAAUCAGUAACCAAUAGAUCUUUUUAUUUCAUAAAAACAUCCAAUCUUCGUAAAAUCAGUAACCAAUCUUCGUAAAGGCAUGCUUCUUCAAUAAUUAUUUUUGUGCCUUGGCACUGUUUCUUCGAAACAAUCUCCGAAUAUCAACAUUGAAACCCCCUUCUUGCGUCAUUGAUGCAAUAUGAUGUAUGAUGUUAUGCUAUGCAAAUGAUGUGAUGAUGUGAUGUUAUGCAAAAUGAUAUUUGCCGAAGAUCAACGUUUAUUUUUCACUGCAAGCCUCCCUUAGGAGCUUCUUCGCCUUUUACUUCAGCGGAAUCAGCAUUUAUUUUUCGCUGUAAGCCUCCCUUAGGAGCUUCUUCGCCUUUUACUUUCAGCGGAAUCAGCGUUUAUUUUUUGCUGUAAGCCUCCCUUAGGAGCUUCUUCGCCUUUUACUUUCAGCGGAAUCAGCGUUUAUUUUUCGCUGUAAGCUCUGCAUUCCCUUCGGAACGACUUUUGAGCAGAAAACUUACGCUGCGCUCCCUUAGGAACGACUUUUUGUUAUUUCGGAGAUUCUCCUUGUAACCAUAAAUUCUUAUGCUUCGGCAACUCUGUUAUUUUGUGGAGAAGGUAUAUUUUUACUGUGGCGAAAACGAAGCUAUUACAAGAAAUUGAAAACGACAAAAAGCACUUAGGCUUUCAAUAAUUGUUCCUUAUUAAAAAGAAAAUGAUACUGAAUGUAAAAACUACUGCCGAGGUAGGAUAUUUGUUAGUAAAUAUGCUUCGAUUCUGGCACAGUACUAUUGACUGUGCGAGCUUCGGACUCUUCUCUAAAGUCCCGUUGAAGGUGGAUAUGCUGACUCCCUUCUGGCUGCUGGCUUUGUUGCAUUGGUGGUGGAGGUGGAGGCUGCUGCCAAGAUGCCUGAGGUUGGCUUGCCGAAGCAACAGAAGCUGCAGGGUGGUUGCCUACAUACUCUGGAAUGUAAGGCGAAUGGUAUGAAGCAGUGUGCAUAACUUGCUUCGGCUGGCUCUGUUGGGCUGCAGCUUCUGCUAUCUCCUUUUGUUUCUGGAUGGUAACAUGGCACAUCCUGGUGGUAUGGCCCUUGUCCUCUCCACAGAAUAGGCAAUAGAUCUUCCUGGGCUGAUCCCCAAAUCUUCCUCCGAAGCCCCUGGCACCUCUACCCCUUGGAGCUGGAGGCCGAGGAUAGCUCUGCUGCUGCCCCGAAGCCUGGGAGGAAUAUUGCGGCCUCUGCUGCUGGCUUCCCCUGUCAUCAUUCUGAGUGUUAUGAAUCGAUCUGACAUGUCUAGGGUGAACUCUCCCUCCGAAGCCACUGGCUAUUUUGGAGAACCUGUAAGCUUCCUCCCUUCUCUAUCGGAAGUCGUUGUCAGCGCGGAUGUAUUCGUCCAUCUUCUGAAGCAGUUUCUCCAGAGUCUGAGGGGGCUUCCUGGCAAAGUACUGGGCUGAAGGUCCUGGCCGAAGCCCCUUAAUCAUGGCCUCAAUGACAAUUUCAUUGGGCACUGUUGGUGCUUGUGCCCUCAGGCGUAAGAACCUUCGGACAUACGCCUGAAGAUAUUCUCCGUGGUCUUGGGUGCACUGGAAUAAGUCUUGAGCGGUGACCGGCUUCGUUUGAAACCCUUAGAAACUGGUGAUCAGCAUAUCCUUCAGCUUCUGCCAUGAUGUGAUUGUUCCUGGCCGAAGGGAGGAGUACCAGGUUUGUGCAACAUUCUUGACGGCCAUGACGAAAGACUUCGCCAUGACUGCAAUAUUGCCACCAUAGGAAGAUAUCGUUGCUUCGUAGCUCAUCAGAAACUGCUUCAGAUCUGAGUGUCCGUUGUACAUGGGGAGUUGAGGUGGCUUGUAAGACGGAGGCCAAGGUGUAGCCUGCAGUUCUGGUGAUAGAGGAGAAGCAUCGUCAAAAGCAAAAUUUCCAUGAUGGAAAUCCUCAUACCAGUCAUCCUCGUUGACGAAGCCCUCUUGGUGGAGCUCUCUGUACUGGGGCCUCCGGUUCUAUUCAUCUUGCGUAAGAUGACGAACCUCUUUAGAGGCUUUGUCUAUCUGCCUUUGUAGGUCAGCUAGCCGGGCCAUCUUUUCUUUCUUCUUUUGCACUUGUUGAUGCAGCAUUUCCAUGUUCCUGAUUUCUUGGUCCAAAUCGUCCUCCUGAGGCGUUGGACUGGUGGCCUUCCUCUUCUGGCUUCGGGCUUCCCGAAGAGAGAGAGUCUCCUGGUUCGUGUCCAGCGGCUGCAGAGCCGCAGCCCCUGUUGCUGAAGCUUUCUUUGGCGGCAUGACAAAGGUCGAUGCUUGCCGAAGGUGUUCGAAACUCAAAAAGUGGAAGUGAGUUCACCGGAGGUGGGCACUAAUGUUGGGGACUUGUUCUCAAAUGCUAAGAGUUAAGAACAAGGAAACAUAAAAAUGUUAAAUGCUAAAGUCCUUAGUCCUUCGAAGCAUUAUUUCCCUUAGGAUAUAAUGAAUUUCGGACGAAGGUUAUGAAGGACAUACCUUCAUAAGCACAACGAAUGAUGAAGAAGAAUUCAUAUAAAUUAUGAGAUAUAACAUAAACAUUUAAACAUUAUUAUUAACUCAUUUCUAUUGACUUGUCAGGGAAAAAUAGAAAUGAUAAUAAAUUACAAAUAUACCUUCGGCUUGAGAGAAGGUAAAGGUACAAGCGUGAGGCAAAAGCAAAUGCCAAGUCAGCGUGAAUAGUACGGGAACACUGUUCAUCUAUUUAUAGGCACGGGACGCAGCCCAUGCAAAAUUACAUCCAGGCCCUUUGCUUUUGACAAUAACUCUAUAGUAAUCUAUCUGGGUCUAGAUAGUCUUUUCCUCUUUAAGUCGGUUUCCUCUUUUCUGCCAUCAUGCCGAAGCUCCCUUGCGCACAACUUCUGCUCUGCUCCAUCCUUCGUAUUGUUUCCGUGCUUCUUCAUACCAUGGGCUCUUGUUCGAAGAUCCCUGUCCACACAUUAUACUCCAGAGGCAUUGCUAAAUCAUGUUUUUGAGGACCUUCGGAAGCCGAAGGCCCCCAACAGUUAUUUUGCUCUAAGAUCGGCAGUAAUGAAGUAUAAAUCAUCGUUGUGGUGUGCUACUCGGUUAAUUGAGCAUUAACACACACAAACAUGACGAGGAUGGUAUAAUCUCCAAAAAUGUGUACUUUGUUAGGUGGGACCCUAUAGCCUUGCAGAAUGUGCUAUGUUAGGCAUGCCUGGAAACGUGUGACGCAUACGUUUUGUGAACCUGUUCAUAUUAUAUGUGCUUUUAUAUUAUCGUAUUUUAUUAAAAUACUAAUAUUUAUUACUAGUAAGAUAUAACAUUCUAUCUAGCUUAAAAACUAACCAUAAAUAUUCCAUAAUAACUAGAUUUACCAAACUAAUAUACUAAAUAUACAUAAUAAAUACAAAAUUAACAAGACAAUAAUCAAUAUUUAUGAGCUUAAUAUAUUUAGACAUUAUGGUUGGUCGACGAUAAUCAUGCUAACUUUCCGUAAUUGCUUGAUUGUAAAUAUGCUUAGAAUAAUGCCUCUUUGUUCUACAUGGCAAAUAGGGACCAUUAUGGUGUAACACCCUGGGAUCCACAAACACCCUGAAAUGCUACUAAACUACACAACUAACCUUCAUAUAUUAAAUUUCGACAGCAUCUCCUUUGAAAAUUUGUAUAAACGUGGAAGCAACAGAGUAUAAACAGAUAUGAUGAUAAGGAAACAUAAUAGACAUUAAUAAUCUGCUAGAAAUGGGAAGAUAACCAUAACGACAUAAACUGAAUUAACUAGUGUGCACGGCAUGUUAAAAACAAACAUCGUUGACAAGAAGUUUCUAAUUAAAUCAUGGCUGUGCCUAGGCAGCGUUAUUAUAUGAGUGAAGGUGGACGUGAUGCUACUUCCCUCAUUCCCAACAUGAAUCAAGUACCUGUAUUGAGUAAUGCAAGAGUGAGAUGAAAACAUCUCAGCAAGUAAAUUGUUUUGACGAGAUAUUUAAACCAAAAAAAUUUGAUUUAAUCAACAUUUUAAAGGGAUCACAAUUGAGAUCAGACAUACUUGUAGAUAUAAAACUCAAUAGUCCCAAAAUAACCAAUGCCAUCUCAUUUCCACAAACAACCACAAUAGGUUGUAUAACACUUCCCUGCGUCAUCAAUACCUGCAAAUAUCACUUCAAUGUAUGCAUAGGAAUGCAAUGUUUAAGUCCUCUGCAUUCAUACUUCUUAGAGUAUAAAACCACACCAUCUGCAAAUAUCACUUCAAUGAAUGCAUAUGAAUGCAAUGCAUAUGUCCUCUGCCUUCAUACCUCUAAGGGUAUGAAGACGCAUCGUACCCCUCCUCGGGCAACGUACGAUGCUAAGUUGUACCGGUACGGUCGGACCAUAGGUCACGACAAAACUUCAGAUGCAAGUGAAUCAUGACAUGUAUAUGGCAUGCUGCAUUUAUCAAUAUACUACACUUCCUUCACAUACAAUACAAACCUCAAAUAAUACUUCGUUUACCUUCAGAUACAAUACAAACCUCAAAUAAUACUUCAUUCACCUUCAGGGGUGUUUAUUAAUCUCGUGGGUCAUACUCAAAUCAUCAUCAUCAUCAAUGAUGUUUAAGCAUCAGUAUAAUACAAUCAAGUAAAGCAUCACCAUAGAGUUCAAUUAUGAAAGAAUUCGAUGAUUCUGAAUAUUAGAGUGUAUGCGAUGAAACAACAAAGUCAAAACGGUAGCAACCACCGCUACAUUCACUUGCCUUCAUCGAAGAAGAAAAAGGUACUAGGCAUGAUUCGGAGUGUAGACACCUGCUGUGGGGCUUAAAACUUAGUACAAAUAUUCCACAAACAUUUGCCAACAACUAACAAAUCGCUCCUACACUUGUAACCAAGACCCGGUGGAAUGACUCCCACCCUGAACCACAUGUCAAACAGCAGGAGUGCUGUUUGUUAAUUUUGUAUCUUUAAAAUUAUAACAGUGGUGAUAUCAAACAAAUACUCUAGAAGUUUCUACACAAAAUACUCUACAACUUCGGUAUUCAAUGGAUAAUUAAAUUUUGCCAUCUAUAAGUUCUAAAACAUCUGACAAGAUAACUGACAGAAUCUGUUUCAGACAGCAGCAUAGUUAACUUCAAAAUUCGAUAUCUCCCAAACUCCUCAACCAAAAUUUAUGAAAUUAUGUUGACAGUAAGAACUUUUAUCCCUCUACAAAAGUCUCCAUAGUUGGAAGAGCCAAUUCGGCCAUUUACUAGAUGAAACCUACCAUUUAACAGACCCGCUCAUUUUUGUCAGGCAAACAAGAACCCUUAUAUAUCAAAGAGUAGUGGAUUUGAAUUUGUCUAAUAUGAAGUUUAUGGGCUUGGAUCAUUUAAAGUAUUUUAUAAUUCUGAAAGACAAGAUUAAACUAACUAUGUAUGAUCCUUUAGCACCGUACAGAUGGUCGAUGGGACAGUUACAUGGUUUAUAUAGAUGGACAUAUCUAUAUUCCUUCAGUGGUUGAGAAAAAGGUAAAGGUGUGUCACACUCACGCGUGCACUGCCUCCGCCGAGACGAGGCAUGGCGUUGCAAGGUGAGGCAUGGCAUGGUGCAGCACGAUCGUAUACAUGGUCGUGGCACAGUGUAGCACUGUUGUGGAUAGAUAGAUAAACUUUUGUUGUAGUUAGAGUGCAUGAGUUUUUGAAUGCAACACAAGAAUUUUCACAAUUUAACUUAAUUAAGAAGUUAUAUCUUGAUGACACAGAGUUACCUGACCAUUGAUCUCACAUGCCCUUUUAGCUCUCUCGUUCUCUAGACUCACCCUGACUAUUUAGGUCUCCUGACUCGCCAAUAUAAACACCAUCCUAUCAUUUGCUCUCGAAUACUUCUGUGUCACAACUCAACUGUCAGAUGAGUACUCCAUUACAGCACUGAGCAGGCCUCCGAAAUGAAUAUCUACUCAGAUGAAGGACGACAAUCGUGUUCUAGGGAAAUAUCAGCGACACAACUCCUUACUUCCUCCGCUUCUUCCUAGUGUUUUUUGUUGUGAUUGAGUCGACAUAGCAACAACACUGCACUAUUACAACCAGUACGACUAUAUCAACUAGCAAUGUCUUCCUUAUAUGUUACUAUUUAUUUUGCUCAUAUUCAUUAUGUUUAAAUCACAUAGGCGCCUUUAUGUUGGCAUCAAAAAAUCAGUAUCAACUUUAUAGAUUAAAAUGAAACUAAAAGUACCUAAAUUUCUAUCGGUGGGGAUCGAGUGAUUCUUUAAACCGAUUAUUACACAAGUUAACCACACUAAAAUUAACAAUGGUGAAUCGUGCCAUGAUUUUUUUCUAGUGGAAAAUAGCCAAACCAAGCAACACAUAUGUGGCUAUCGUUACACAUGUGUAAAGGUAUUGCAUCACACCAUUGUCACCCAUGUAUUUGGACAAUACCGAGAGGAAAAACCACUUAUUUAUUGUAUUAUAUCAAGUUUGUCUUGCUUACGUAUAAAUUAUAACCCAACAAAGUAAUCACUAAAUGUCAAAACCAACUAGAUACCAUGUCAUCUCUACCUUAUCUUACUAAUAUUCUUUUUGCAAAAUCCAAAAUUAAUCUUGCACAAGCACAAGGACUGAGAUGUGUAUAAAUAUCUCUUAAAUUAGUAGCUAAUAUAUCGCACAUAUUAUUGAGACCAACUAGCAACAUAGAAAGCACAAUAGUGUACCAACAAUGGCAGCCAAAAUAUUUUGCCUCCUUAUGCUCCUUGGUCUUUCUGCAAGUGCUGCUACGGCGACCAUUUUCCCGCAAUGCUCGCAAGCUCCUAUAGCUUCCCUUCUUCCCCCGUACCUCUCACCAGCGGUGUCUUCGGUAUGUGAAAACCCAAUUCUUCAACCCUACAGGAUCCAACAGGCAAUCACAGCUGGCAUCUUACCUUUAUCACCCUUGUUCCUCCAACAAUCAUCAGCCCUAUUACAUCAGUUACCUUUGGUGCAUUUAUUGGCACAAAACAUCAGGGCACAACAACUACAACAACUUGUGCUAGCAAACCUUGCUGCCUACUCUCAGCAACAGCAGUUUCUUCCAUUCAACCAACUAGCUGCAUUGAACUCUGCUUCUUAUUUGCAACAACAACAACUACCAUUCAGCCAGCUACCUGCUGCCUACCCCCAGCAAUUUCUUCCAUUCAACCAACUGGCAGCAUUGAACUCUCCUGCUUAUUUACAGCAGCAACAACUACUACCAUUCAGCCAGCUAGCUGGUGUGAGCCCUGCUACCUUCUUGAUACAACCACAGUUGUUGCCGUUCUACCAGCACGCUGCGCCUAACGCUGGCACCCUCUUACAACUGCAACAAUUGCUGCCAUUCAACCAACUUGCUUUGACAAACCCAGCAGCGUUCUACCAACAACCCAUCAUUGGUGGUGCCCUCUUUUAGAUUUCUUAUGAGUUAUAGUUCAAUAAUAAAGUUUUUUGUCUGAUGUUUGUGGCUUCCCAGAAAUAAGAAAGUACAUUUCUAGAUUCUUAUGUGCUUCUAGUCUCCAAAUGUGGUUGAUAGUUAUUUUGCUCUAAGAUCGACAGUAAUGAAGUAUAAAUCAUCGUUGUGGUGUGCUACUCGGUUAAUUGAGCAUUAACACACACAAACAUGACGAGGAUGGUAUAAUCUCCAAAAAUAUGUACUUUGUUAGGUGGGACCCUAUAGCCUUGCAUAAUGUGCUAUGUUAGGCAUGCCUGGAAACGUGUGACGCAUAUGUUUUGUGAACCUGUUGAUAUUAUAUGUGCUUUUAUAUUACCAUAUUUUAUUAAAAUACUAAUAUUUAUUACUAGUAAGAUAUAACAUUCUAUCUAGCUUAAAAACUAACCAUAAAUAUUCCAUAAUAACUAGAUUUACCAAACUAAUAUACUAAAUAUACAUAAUAAAUACAAAAUUAACAAGACAAUAAUCAAUAUUUAUGAGCUUAAUAUAUUUAGACAUUAUGGUUGGUCGACCAUAAUCAUGCUAACUUUUCGUACUUGCUUGAUUGUAAAUAUGCUUAGAAUAAUGCCUCUUUGUUCUACAUGGCAAAUAGGGACCAUUAUGGUGUAACACCCUGGGAACCACAAACACCCCGAAAUGCUACUAAACUACACAACUAACCUUCAUAUAUAAAAUUUCGACAGCAUCUCCUUUGAAAAUUUGCAUAAACGUGGAAGCAACAGAGUAUAAACAGAUAUCAUGAUAAGGAAACAUACUAGACAUUAAUAAUCUGCUAGAAAUGGGAAGAUAACCAUAACGACAUAAACUGAAUUAACUAGUGUGCACAACUUGUUUAAAACAAACAUCAUUGACAAGAAGUUUCUAAUUAAAUCAUGGCUGUGCCUGGGUAGCGUUAUUAUGAGAGUGAAGGUGGACGUGAUGCUACUUCCCUCAUUCCCAACAUGAAUCAAGUACCUGCAUUGAGUAAUGCAAGAGUGAGAUGAAAACAUCUCAGCAAGUAAAUUGUUUUGACGAGAUAUUUAAAGCAAAAAAAUUUGAUUUACUCAACAUUUUAAAGGGAUCACAAUUGAGAUCAGAAAUACUUGUAGAUAUAGAACUCAAUAGUCCCAAAAUAACCAGUGCCAUCUCAUUUCCUCAAACAACCACAAUAGGUUGUAUAACACUUCCCUGCGUCAUCAAUACCUGCAAAUAUCACUUCAAUGUAUGCAUAGGAAUGCAAUGUUUAAGUCCUCUGCAUUCAUACUUCUUAGAGUAUAAAACCACACCAUCUGCAAAUAUCACUUCAAUGAAUGCAUAUGAAUGCAAUGCAUAUGUCCUCUGCCUUCAUACCUCUAAGGGUAUGAAGCCGAAUCGUACCCCUCCUCGGGCAACGUACGAUGCUAAGUUGUACCGUUACGGUCGGACCAUAGGUCACGACAAAACUUCAUAUGCAAGUGAAUCAUGACAUGUAUAUGGCUUGCUGCAUUUAUCAAUAUACUUCACUUCCUUCAUAUACAAUACAAACCUCAAAUAAUACUUCGUUUACCUUCAGAUACAAUACAAACCUCAAAUAAUACUUCAUUCACCUUCAGGGGUGUUUAUUAAUCUCGUGGGUCAUACUCGAAUCAUCAUCAUCAUCAAUGAUGAUUAAGCAUCAGUAUAAUACAAUCAAGUAAAGCAUCACCAUAGAGUUCAAUUAUGAAAGAAUUCGAUGAUUCUGAAUAUUAGAGUGUAUGCGAUGAAACAACAACGUCAAAACGGUAGCAACCACCGCUACAUUCACUUGCCUUCAUCGAAGAAGAAAAACAUACUAGGCAUGAUUCAGAGUGUAGACACCUGCUGUGGGGCUUAAAACUUAGUACAAAUAUUCCACAAACAUUUGCCAACAAUUAACAAAUCGCUCCUACACUUGAAACCAAGACCCGGUGGAAUGACUCCCACCCUGAACCACAUGCCAAACAAUAGUAGUGUUGUUUGUUAAUUUUGUAUCUUUAAAAUUAUAACAGUGGUGAUAUCAAACAAAUACUCCAGAAGUUUCUACACAAAAUACUCUACAACUUUGGUAUUCAAUGGAUAAUUAAAUUUUGCCAUCUAUAAGUUCUAAAACAUCUGAUAAGAUAACUGACUGAAUUUGUUUCAGACAACAGCAUAGUUAACUUCAAAAUUCGAUAUCUCCCAAACUCCUCAACCAAAAAUUAUGAAAUUAUUCUGACAGUAAGAACUUUUUUCCCUCUACAAAAGUAUCUAUAGUUGGAAGAGCCAAUUCGGCCAUUUACUAGAUGAAACCUACCAGUUAACAGACCCGCUCAUUUUUGUCAGGCAAACAAGAACCCUUAUAUAUCAAAGAGUAGUGGAUUUGAAUUUGUCUAAUAUGAAGUUUAUGGGCUUGGAUCAUUUAAAGUAUUUUAUAAUUCUGAAAGACAAGAUUAAACUAACUAUGUAUGAUCCUUUAGCACUGUACAGAUGGUCGAUGGGACAGUUACAUGGUUUAUAUAGAUGGACCUAUCUAUAUUCCUUCAGUGGUUGAGAAAAAGGUAAAGGUGUGUCACACUCACGUGUGCGCCGCCUCUACCGAGAUGAGGCAUGGCGUUGCAAGGUGAGGCAUGGCAUGGUGCAGCACGAUCGUAUACAUGGUCGUGGCACAGUGUAGCACUGUUGUGGAUAGAUAGAUAAACUUUUGUUGUAGUUAGAGUGCAUGAGUUUUUGAAUGCAACACAAGAAUUUUCACAAUUUAACUUAAUUAAGAAGUUAUAUCUUGAUGACACAGAGUUACCUGACCAUUGAUCUCACAUGCCCUUUUAGCUCUCUCGUUCUCUAGACUCACCCUGACUAUUUAGGUCUCCUGACUCGCCAAUAUAAACACCAUCCUAUCAUUUGCUCUCGAAUACUUCUGUGUCACAACUCAACUGUCAGAUGAGUACUCCAUUACAGCACUGAGCAGGCCUCCGAAAUGAAUAUCUACUCAGAUGAAGGACGACAAUCGUGUUCUAGGGAAAUAUCGGUGACACAACUCCUUACUUCCUCCGCUUCUUCCUAGUGUUUUUUGUUGUGAUUGAGUCGACACAGCAACAACACUGCACUAUUACAACCAGUACGACUAUAUUAACUAGCAAUGUCUUCCUUAUAUGUUACUAUUUAUUUUGCUCAUAUUCAUUAUGUUUAAAUCACAUAGGCACCUUUUUGUUGGCAUCAAAAAAUUAGUAUCAACUUUCUAGAUUAAAGUGAAACUAAAAGUACCUAAAUUUCUAUCGGUGGGGAUCGAGUGAUUCUUUAAACCAAUUAUUACGCAAGUUAACCACACUAAAAUUAACAUUGGUGAACCGUGCCAUGAUUUUUUCUAAUGGAAAAUAGCCAAACCAAGCAACACAUAUGUGGCUAUCGUUACACAUGUGUAAAGGUAUUGCAUCACACCAUUGUCACCCAUGUAUUUGGACAAUACCGAGAGGAAAAACCACUUAUUUAUUGUAUUUUAUCAAGUUUGUCUUGCUUACGUAUAAAUUAUAACCCAACAAAGUAAUCACUAAAUGUCAAAACCAACUAGAUACCAUGUCAUCUCUACCUUAUCUUACUAAUAUUCUUUUUGCAAAAUCCAAAAUUAAUCUUGCACAAGCACAAGGACUGAGAUGUGUAUAAAUAUCUCUUAAAUUAGUAGCUAAUAUAUCACACAUAUUAUUGAGACCAACUAGCAACAUAGAAAGCACAAUAGUGUACCAACAAUGGCAGCUAAAAUAUUUUGCCUCCUUAUGCUCCUUGGUCUUUCUGCAAGUGCUGCUACGGCGACCAUUUUCCCACAAUGCUCACAAGCUCCUAUAGCUUCCCUUCUUCCCCCGUACCUCUCACCAACGGUGUCUUCGGUAUGUGAAAACCCAAUUCUUCAACCCUACAGGAUCCAACAGGCAAUCGCAGCUGGCAUCUUACCUUUAUCACCCUUGUUCCUCCAACAAUCAUCAGCCCUAUUACAGCAGUUACCUUUGGUGCAUUUAUUGGCACAAAACAUCAGGGCACAACAACUACAACAACUUGUGCUAGCAAACCUUGCUGCCUACUCUCAGCAACAGCAGUUUCUUCCAUUCAACCAACUAGCUGCAUUGAACUCUGCUUCUUAUUUGCAACAACAACAACUACCAUUCAGCCAGCUAUCUGCUGCCUACCCCCAGCAAUUUCUUCCAUUCAACCAACUGACAGCAUUGAACUCUCCUGCUUAUUUACAGCAGCAACAACUACUACCAUUCAGCCAGCUAGCUGGUGUGAGCCCUGCUACCUUCUUGACACAACCACAGUUGUUGCCGUUCUACCAGCACGCUGCGCCUAACGCUGGCACCCUCUUACAACUGCAACAAUUGCUGCCAUUCAACCAACUUGCUUUGACAAACCCAGCAGCAUUCUACCAACAACCCAUCAUUGGUGGUGCCCUCUUUUAGAUUUCUUAUGAGUUAUAGUUCAAUAAUAAAGUUUUUUGUCUGAUGUUUGUGGCUUCCCAGAAAUAAGAAAGUACAUUUCUAGAUUCUUAUGUGCUUCUAGUCUCCAAAUGUGGUUGAUAGUUAUUUUGCUCUAAGAUCAACAGUAAUGAAGUAUAAAUCAUCGUUGUGGUGUGCUACUCGGUUAAUUGAGCAUUAACACACACAAACAUGACGAGGAUGGUAUAAUCUCCAAAAAUGUGUACUUUGUUAGGUGGGACCCUAUAGCCUUGAUUAAUGUGCUAUGUUAGGCAUGCCUGGAAACGUGUGACGCAUAUGUUUUGUGAACCUGUUGAUAUUAUAUGUGCUUUUAUAUUACCAUAUUUUAUUAAAAUACUAAUAUUUAUUACUAGUAAGAUAUAACAUUCUAUCUAGCUUAAAAACUAACCAUAAAUAUUCCAUAAUAACUAGAUUUACCAAACUAAUAUACUAAAUAUACAUAAUAAAUACAAAAUUAACAAGACAAUAAUCAAUAUUUAUGAGCUUAAUAUAUUUAGACAUUAUGGUUGGUCGACGAUAAUCAUGCUAACUUUUCGUAAUUGCUUGAUUGUAAAUAUGCUUAGAAUAAUGCCUCUUUGUUCUACAUGGCAAAUAGGGACCAUUAUGGUGUAACACCCUGGGAACCACAAACACCCCGAAAUGCUACUAAACUACACAACUAACCUUCAUAUAUAAAAUUUCGACAGCAUCUCCUUUGAAAAUUUGCAUAGACGUGGAAGCAACAGAGUAUAAACAGAUAUCAUGAUAAGAAAACAUACUAGACAUUAAUAAUCUGCUAGAAAUGGGAAGAUAACCAUAACGACAUAAACUGAAUUAACUAGUGUGCACAACUUGUUAAAAACAAACAUCGUUGACAAGAAGUUUCUAAUUAAAUCAUGGUUGUGCCUGGGCAGCGUUAUUAUGAGAGUGAAGGUGGACGUGAUGCUACUUCCCUCAUUCCCAACAUGAAUCAAGUACCUGCAUUGAGCAAUGCAAGAGUGAGAUGAAAACAUCUCAGCAAGUAAAUUGUUUUGACGAGAUAUUUAAACCAAAAAAAUUUGAUUUACUCAACAUUUUAAAGGGAUCACAAUUGAGAUCAGAAAUACUUGUAGAUAUAGAACUCAAUAGUCCCAAAAUAACCAGUGCCAUCUCAUUUCCUCAAACAACCACAAUAGGUUGUAUAACACUUCCCUGCGUCAUCAAUACCUGCAAAUAUCACUUCAAUGUAUGCAUAGGAAUGCAAUGUUUAAGUCCUCUGCAUUCAUACUUCUUAGAGUAUAAAACCACACCAUCUGCAAAUAUCACUUCAAUGAAUGCAUAUGAAUGCAAUGCAUAUGUCCUCUGCCUUCAUACCUCUAAGGGUAUGAAGCCGAAUCGUACCCCUCCUCGGGCAACGUACGAUGCUAAGUUGUACCGGUACGGUCGGACCAUAGGUCACGACAAAACUUCAUAUGCAAGUGAAUCAUGACAUGUAUAUGGCUUGCUGCAUUUAUCAAUAUACUUCACUUCCUUCAUAUACAAUACAAACCUCAAAUAAUACUUCGUUUACCUUCAGAUACAAUACAAACCUCAAAUAAUACUUCAUUCACCUUCAGGGGUGUUUAUUAAUCUCGUGGGUCAUACUCGAAUCAUCAUCAUCAUCAAUGAUGAUUAAGCAUCAGUAUAAUACAAUCAAGUAAAGCAUCACCAUAGAGUUCAAUUAUGAAAGAAUUCGAUGAUUCUGAAUAUUAGAGUGUAUGCGAUGAAACAACAACGUCAAAACGGUAGCAACCACCGCUACAUUCAUUUGCCUUCAUCGAAGAAGAAAAAUGUACUAGGCAUGAUUCAGAGUGUAGACACCUGCUGUGGGGCUUAAAACUUAGUACAAAUAUUCCACAAACAUUUGCCAACAAUUAACAAAUCGCUCCUACACUUGAAACCAAGACCCGGUGGAAUGACUCCCACCCUGAACCACAUGCCAAACAAUAGUAGUGCUGUUUGUUAAUUUUGUAUCUUUAAAAUUAUAACAGUGGUGAUAUCAAACAAAUACUCUAGAAGUUUCUACACAAAAUACUCUACAACUUCGGUAUUCAAUGGAUAAUUAAAUUUUGCCAUCUAUAAGUUCUAAAACAUCUGAUAAGAUAACUGACUGAAUUUGUUUCAGACAGCAGCAUAGUUAACUUCAAAAUUCGAUAUCUCCCAAACUCCUCAACCAAAAAUUAUGAAAUUAUGCUGACAGUAAGAACUUUUUGUCCCUCUACAAAAGUAUCUAUAGUUGGAAGAGCCAAUUCGGCCAUUUACUAGAUGAAACCUACCAGUUAACAGACCCGCUCAUUUUUGUCAGGCAAACAAGAACCCUUAUAUAUCAAAGAGUAGUGGAUUUGAAUUUGUCUAAUAUGAAGUUUAUGGGCUUGGAUCAUUUAAAGUAUUUUAUAAUUCUGAAAGACAAGAUUAAACUAACUAUGUAUGAUCCUUUAGCACCGUACAGAUGGUCGAUGGGACAGUUACAUGGUUUAUAUAGAUGGACCUAUCUAUAUUCCUUCAGUGGUUGAGAAAAAGGUAAAGGUGUGUCACACUCACGUGUGCGCCGCCUCUGCCGAGAUGAGGCAUGGCGUUGCAAGGUGAGGCAUGGCAUGGUGCAGCACGAUCGCAGUCAUGGUCGUGGCACAGUGUAGCACUGUUGUGGAUAGAUAGAUAAACUAUUGUUGUAGUUAGAGUGCAUGAGUUUUUGAAUGCAACACUAGGAUUUUCACAAUUUAACUUAAUUAAGAAGUUAUAUCUUGAUGACACAGAGUUACCUGACCAUUGAUCUCACAUGCCCUUUUAGCUCUCUUGUUCUCUAGACUCACCCUGACUAUUGAGGUCUCUUGACUCGCCAAUAUAAACACCAUCCUAUCAUUUGCUCUCGAAUACUUUUGUGUCACAACUCAACUGUCAGAUGAGUACUCCAUUACAGCACUGAGCAGGCCUCCGAAAUGAAUAUCUACUCAGAUGAAGGACGACAAUCGUGUUCUAGGGAAAUAUCAGUGACACAACUCCUUACUUCCUCUGCUUCUUCCUAGUGUUUUUUGUUGUGAUUGAGUCGACACAGCAACAACACUGCACUAUUACAACCAGUACGACUAUAUUAACUAGCAAUGUCUUCCUUAUAUGUUACUAUUUAUUUUGCUCAUAUUCAUUAUGUUUAAAUCACAUAGGCACCUUUUUGUUGGCAUCAAAAAAUUAGUAUCAACUUUCUAGAUUAAAGUGAAACUAAAAGUACCUAAAUUUCUAUCGGUGGGGAUCGAGUGAUUCUUUAAACCGAUUAUUACACAAGUGAACCACACUAAAAUUAACAUUGGUGAAUCGUGCCAUGAUUUUUUCUAGUGGAAAAUAGCCAAACCAAGCAACACAUAUGUGGCUAUCGUUACACAUGUGUAAAGGUAUUGCAUCACACCAUUGUCACCCAUGUAUUUGGACAAUACCGAGAGGAAAAACCACUUAUUUAUUGUAUUUUAUCAAGUUUGUCUUGCUUACGUAUAAAUUAUAACCCAACAAAGUAAUCACUAAAUGUCAAAACCAACUAGAUACCAUGUCAUCUCUACCUUAUCUUACUAAUAUUCUUUUUGCAAAAUCCAAAAUUAAUCUUGCACAAGCACAAGGACUGAGAUGUGUAUAAAUAUCUCUUAAAUUAGUAGCUAAUAUAUCACACAUAUUAUUGAGACCAACUAGCAACAUAGAAAGCACAAUAGUGUACCAACAAUGGCAGCCAAAAUAUUUUGCCUCCUUAUGCUCCUUGGUCUUUCUGCAAGUGCUGCUACGGCGACCAUUUUCCCACAAUGCUCACAAGCUCCUAUAGCUUCCCUUCUUCCCCCGUACCUCUCACCAGCGGUGUCUUCGGUAUGUGAAAACCCAAUUCUUCAACCCUAUAGGAUCCAACAGGCAAUCGCAGCUGGCAUCUUACCUUUAUCACCCUUGUUCCUCCAACAAUCAUCAGCCCUAUUACAGCAGUUACCUUUGGUGCAUUUAUUGGCACAAAACAUCAGGGCACAACAACUACAACAACUUGUGCUAGCAAACCUUGCUGCCUACUCUCAGCAACAACAGUUUCUUCCAUUCAACCAACUAGCUGCAUUGAACUCUGCUUCUUAUUUGCAACAACAACAACUACCAUUCAGCCAGCUAUCUGCUGCCUACCCCCAGCAAUUUCUUCCAUUCAACCAACUGACAGCUUUGAACUCUCCUGCUUAUUUACAGCAGCAACAACUACUACCAUUCAGCCAGCUAGCUGGUGUGAGCCCUGCUACCUUCUUGACACAACCACAAUUGUUGCCGUUCUACCAGCACGCUGCGCCUAACGCUGGCACCCUCUUACAACUGCAACAAUUGCUGCCAUUCAACCAACUUGCUUUGACAAACCCAACAGCAUUCUACCAACAACCCAUCAUUGGUGGUGCCCUCUUUUAGAUUUCUUAUGAGUUAUAGUUCAAUAAUAAAGUUUUUUGUCUGAUGUUUGUGGCUUCCCAGAAAUAAGAAAGUACAUUUCUAGAUUCUUAUGUGCUUCUAGUCUCCAAAUGUGGUUGAUAGUUAUUUUGCUCUAAGAUUAGCAGUAAUGAAGUAUAAAUCAUCGUUGUGGUGUGCUACUCGGUUAAUUGAGCAUUAACACACACAAACAUGACGAGGAUGGUAUAAUCUCCAAAAAUGUGUACUUUGUUAGGUGGGACCCUAUAGCCUUGCAGAAUGUGCUACGUUAGGCAUGCCAAUGGAAACGUGUGACACAUACGUUUUGUGAAUCUGUUGAUAUUAUAUGUGCUUUUAUAUUACCAUAUUUUAUUAAAAUACUAAUAUUUAUUACUAGUAAGAUAUAACAUUCUAUCUAGCUUAAAAACUAACCAUAAAUAUUCCAUAAUAACUAGAUUUACCAAACUAAUAUACUAAAUAUACAUAAUAAAUAUAAAAUUAACAAGACAAUAAUUAAUAUUUAUGAGCUUAAUUUAUUUAGACAUUAUGGUUGGUCGACGAUAAUCAUGCUAACUUUCCGUAAUUGCUUGAUUGUAAAUAUGCUUAGAAUAAUGCCUCUUUGUUCUACAUGGCAAAUAGGGACCAUUAUGGUGUAACACCCCGGGAUCCACAAACACCCCGAAAUGCUACUAAACUACACAACUAACCUUCAUAUAUAAAAUUUCGACAGCAUCUCCUUUGAAAAUUUGCAUAAACGUGGAAGCAACAGAGUAUAAACAGAUAUCAUGAUAAGGAAACAUACUAGACAUUAAUAAUCUGCUAGAAAUGGGAAGAUAACCAUAACGACAUAAACUGAAUUAACUAGUGUGCACAACUUGUUAAAAACAAACAUCGUUGACAAGAAGUUUCUAAUUAAAUCAUGGUUGUGCCUGGGCAGCGUUAUUAUGAGAGUGAAGGUGGACGUGAUGCUACUUCCCUCAUUCCCAACAUGAAUCAAGUACCUGCAUUGAGUAAUGCAAGAGUGAGAUGAAAACAUCUCAGCAAGUAAAUUGUUUUGACGAGAUAUUUAAACCAAAAAAAUUGAUUUAAUCAACAUUUUAAAGGGAUCACAAUUGAGAUCAGAAAUACUUGUAGAUAUAGAACUCAAUAGUCCCAAAAUAACCAAUGCCAUCUCAUUUCCUCAAACAACCACAAUAGGUUGUAUAACACUUCCCUGCGUCAUCAAUACCUGCAAAUAUCACUUCAAUGUAUGCAUAGGAAUGCAAUGUUUAAGUCCUCUGCAUUCAUACUUCUUAGAGUAUAAAACCACACCAUCUGCAAAUAUCACUUCAAUGAAUGCAUAUGAAUGCAAUGCAUAUGUCCUCUGCCUUCAUACCUCUAAGGGUAUGAAGCCGCAUCGUACCCCUCCUCGGGCAACGUACGAUGCUAAGUUGUACCGGUACGGUCGGACCAUAGGUCACGACAAAACUUCAGAUGCAAGUGAAUCAUGACAUGUAUAUGGCAUGCUGCAUUUAUCAAUAUACUUCACUUCCUUCAUAUACAAUACAAACCUAAAAUAAUACUUCGUUUACCUUCAGAUACAAUACAAACCUCAAAUAAUACUUCAUUCACCUUCAGGGGUGUUUAUUAAUCUCGUGGGUCAUACUCAAAUCAUCAUCAUCAUCAAUGAUGUUUAAGCAUCAGUAUAAUACAAUCAAGUAAAGCAUCACCAUAGAGUUCAAUUAUGAAAGAAUUCGAUGAUUCUGAAUAUUAGAGUGUAUGCGAUGAAACAACAAAGUCAAAACGGUAGCAACCACCUCUACAUUCACUUGCCUUCAUCGAAGAAGAAAAAGGUACUAGGCAUGAUUCGGAGUGUAGACACCUGCUGUGGGGCUUAAAACUUAGUACAAAUAUUCCAUAAACAUUUGCCAACAAUUAACAAAUCGCUCCUACACUUGAAACCAAGACCCGGUGGAAUGACUCCCACCCUGAACCACAUGCCAAACAACAAUAGUGUUGUUUGUUAAUUUCUAUCUUUAAAAUUAUAACAGUGGUGAUAUCAAACAAAUACUCUAUACGUUUCUACACAAAAUACUCUACAACUUCGGUAUUCAAUGGAUAAUUAAAUUUUGCCAUCUAUAAGUUCUAAAACAUCUGACAAGAUAACUGACUGAAUCUGUUUCAGACAACAGCAUAGUUAACUUCAAAAUUCGAUAUCUCCCUAACUCCUCAACAAAAAAUUAUGAAAUUAUGCUGACAGUAAGAACUUUUAUCCCUCUACAAAAGUCUCCAUAGUUGAAAGAGCCAAUUCGGCCAUUUACUAGAUGAAACCUACCAGUUAACGGACCCGCUCAUUUUUGUCAAGCAAACAAGAACCCUUAUAUAUCAAAGAGUAGUGGAUUUGAAUUUGUCUAAUAUGAAGUUUACGGGCUUGGCUCAUUUAAAGUAUUUAAUAAUUCUGAAAGACAAGAUUAAACUAACUAUGUAUGAUCCUUUAGCACCGUACAGAUGGUCGAUGGGACAGUUACAUGGUUUAUAUAGAUGGACCUAUCUAUAUUCCUUCAGUGGUUGAGAAAAAAGUAAAGGUGUGUCACACUCACGUGUGCGCCGCCUCCGCCGAGACGAGGCAUGGCGUUGCAAGGUGAGGCAUGGCAUGGUGUAGCACGAUAGCAGUCAUGGUCGUGGCACAGUGUAGCACUGUUGUGGAUAGAUAGGUAAACUAUUGUUGUAGUUAGAGUGCAUGAGUUUUUGAAUGCAACACUAGAAUUUUCACAAUUUAACUUAAUUAAGAAGUUAUAUCUUGAUGACACAGAGUUACCUGACCAUUGAUCUCACAUGCCCUUUUAGCUCUCUCGUUCUCUAGACUCACCCUGACUAUUUAAGUCUCUUGACUCGCCAAUAUAAACACCAUCCUAUCAUUUGCUCUAGAAUACUUCUGUGUCACAACUCAACUGUCAGAUGAGUACUCCAUUACAGCACUUACGUACACGAGUUCUAUGAGAGCAGGCCUCCAAAAUGAAUAUCUACUUAGAUGAAGGACGACAAUCGUGUUCUAGGGAAAUAUCAGCGACACAACUCCUUACUUCCUUCGCUUCUUCCUAGUGUUUUUUGUUGUGAUUGAGUCGACACAGCAACAACACUGCACUAUUACAACCAGUACGACUAUAUCAACUAGCAAUGUCUUCCUUAUAUGUUACUAUUUAUUUUGCACAUAUUCAUUAUGUUUAAAUCACAUAGGCACCUUUCUAUUGGCAUCAAAAAAUUAGUAUCAACUUUCUAGAUUAAAAUGAAACUAAAAGUACAUAAAUUUCUAUCGGUGGGGAUCGAGUGAUUCUUUAAACCGAUUAUUACACAAGUUAACCACACUAAAAUUAACAUUGGUGAAUCGUGCCAUGAUUUUUUUUCUAGUGGAAAAUAGCCAAACCAAGCAACACAUAUGUGGCUAUCGUUACACAUGUGUAAAGGUAUUGCAUCACACUAUUGUCACCCAUGUAUUUGGACAAUACCGAGAGGAAAAACCACUUAUUUAUUGUAUUUUAUCAAGUUUGUCUUGCUUACGUAUAAAAUUAUAACCCAACAAAGUAAUCACUAAACGUCAAAACCAACUAGAUAUCAUGUCAUCUCUACCUUAUCUUACUAAUAUUCUUUUUGCAAAAUCCAAAAUUAAUCUUGCACAAGCACAAGGACUGAGAUGUGUAUAAAUAUCUCUUAAAUUAGUAGCUAAUAUAUCGCACAUAUUAUUUAGACCAACUAGCAACAUAGAAAGCACAAUAGUGUACCAACAAUGGCAGCCAAAAUAUUUUGCCUCCUUAUGCUCCUUGGUAUUUCUGCAAGUGCUGCUACGGCGACCAUUUUCCCGCAAUGCUCACAAGCUCCUAUAGCUUCCCUUCUUCCCCCGUACCUCUCACCAGCGGUGUCUUCGGUAUGUGAAAACCCAAUUCUUCAACCCUACAGGAUCCAACAGGCAAUCGCAGCUGGCAUCUUACCUUUAUCACCCUUGUUCCUCCAACAAUCAUCAGCCCUAUUACAGCAGUUACCUUUGGUGCAUUUAUUGGCACAAAACAUCAGGGCACAACAACUACAACAACUUGUGCUAGCAAACCUUGCUGCCUACUCUCAGCAACAGCAGUUUCUUCCAUUCAACCAACUAGCUGCAUUGAACUCUGCUUCUUAUUUGCAACAACAACAACUACCAUUCAGCCAGCUACCUGUUGCCUACCCCCAGCAAUUUCUUCCAUUCAACCAACUGGCAGCAUUGAACUCUCCUGCUUAUUUACAGCAGCAACAACUACUACCAUUCAGCCAGCUAGCUGGUGUGAGCCCUGCUACCUUCUUGACACAACCACAGUUGUUGCCGUUCUACCAGCACGCUGCGCCUAACGCUGGCACCCUCUUACAACUGCAACAAUUGCUGCCAUUCAACCAACUUGCUUUGACAAACCUAGCAGUGUUCUACCAACAACCCAUCAUUGGUGGUGCCCUCUUUUAGAUUUCUUAUGAGUUAUAGUUCAAUAAUAAAGUUUUUUGUCUGAUGUUUGUGGCUUCCCAGAAAUAAGAAAGUACAUUUCUAGAUUCUUAUGUGCUUCUAGUCUCCAAAUGUGGUUGAUAGUUAUUUUGCUCUAAGAUCAGCAGUACAACAACAACAACAACAACAACAACAACAACAACAAAGCCUUUUUGUCCCAAGCACGUUGGGGUAGGCUAGAGAUGAAACCCCGUAUGAAAACCUCAGAGCUCAACCCCCAAAGAACAGAAAAGGGAAACAAAGGCAAAGGAGAACCGAAAACAACGAAACGGGGAAACACAUAAAAGAGAUAAAACCCACAAGGACCAGCAAGAUCUAAAAUGGACACAAGAAAAGGUCAAACGAUUAAGGAGGAAAAGCGAAACUAUCAAUCAGGGUUCUGGCACGUGAAUUGCACACUUCCACCCCUUCCUAUCUGCGGCGAGCUCUUUGUCAAUAUUCCACUCCUUCAGGUCUCUCUUCACAGCCUCUGUCCACGUCAAAGUUGGUCGACCUCUACCUCUCUUCACAUUUUCGGGACGCCUAAUUAUUCCGAUAUGCACUGGUGCCUCUUCAGGUCUUCGUUGGAUAUGUCCAAACCAUCUCAAGCGAUGUUGCAUAAGCUUCUCCUCAAUUGGCGCCACUCCUACUCUCUCUCGUAUAUCAUCAUUCCGGACUCGAUCUCUCCUUGUGUGGCCACAUAUCCAGCGCAACAUACGCAUCUCUGCCACACUUAGUUGUUGGACAUGUCGUCUUUUAGUGGGCCAACAUUCUGCUCCAUACAACAUAGCCGGCCGGAUUGCUGUCCUGUAGAAUUUGCCUUUUAGUUUGCGUGGCACCCGGUGGUCGCAUAAGACACCCGCAGCUUGUCGCCACUUCAACCAUCCGGCUUUAAUUCUAUGACUGACAUCCUCAUCGAUGUCUCCCUCCUUUUGAAGCAUUGAUCCUAAGUAACGAAAAGUGUCUUUCUUGGGUACCACUUGCCCAUCAAGACUAACAUCGCCAUCCUCAUACCCCAUGGCACUGAAAUCACACUUCAUAUACUCUGUUUUAGACCUACUAAGCCUAAAACCUUUUGCUUCCAGCGUCUGCCUCCACAAUUCCAACUUUUGAGAAACACCACUCCUACUCUCCUCAAUAAGUACCACAUCAUCGGCAAAAAGCAUACACCACGGUAAAACUCCUUGUAUGUCCCUUGUGACCUCAUCUAUCACCAAAGCGAAAAGAUAAGGGCUCAAAGCCGACCCUUGAUGUAGUCCUAUGUUAAUUGGAAAGUCAUCGGUGUCUCCAUCACUUGUUCGGACACUUGUCACAACAUUAGUGUACAUAUCUUUAAUAAGAUUAAUGUACUUUGUUGCUACUUUGUGUUUUUCCAAGGCCCACCACAUUACACUCCUAGGUACUUUGUCAUAAGCCUUCUCCAAGUCUAUGAAGACCAUAUGCAGGUCUUUCUUUUGUUCUCUGAAUCUCUCCAUAAGUUGUCUUAGUAAGAAAAUGGCCUCCAUAGUUGAUCUCCCGGGCAUGAAACCAAACUGAUUUUGGGUCACGCUCGUCAUCUUUCGCAGGCGGUGUUCAAUGACUCUCUCCCAUAGCUUCAUUGUAUGGCUCAUGAGCUUAAUUCCACGGUAAUUAGUACAACUUUGAACAUCUCCUUUGUUCUUGAAGAUUGGUACUAAUGUACUCCGCCGCCACUCGUCGGGCAUUCUGUUUGCCCGAAAGAUGGUGUUGAAAAGCUUAGUCAGCCAUACUAUCGCUAUGUCUCCAAGACAUCUCCAUACCUCGAUAGGGAUACCAUCAGGGCCCAUCGCCUUUCCUACCUUCAUCCUUUUUAGCGCCUCCUUAACUUCAUAUUCUUGUAUCCUUCGUACAAAACCCCUGUUGUUGUCAUCGAAUGGUUCGUCCAAUUCUAUUGUAGCACUCUCAUUCCCUCCAUUGAACAAUUUGUUGAAGUACUCCUUCCAUCUGUUCUUGAUCUCUUCACUCUUCACUAAUAGUUGGUUUGCUUCGUCCUUGAUGCAUUUGACUUGGUUGACAUCCCUUGUCUUCCUUUCACGAAUCUUGGCCAUCCUAUAGAUAUCCUUUUCUCCCUGCUUUGUGUCCAGCCGUUGAUAAAGGUCGUCAUAGGCUUGACCCCGGGCUCUACUAACCGCUCGCUUUGCAGACUUCUUCGCUAUCCUGUACUUCUCUAUGUUUUCUGCACACUUGUCAUGAUGUAAGCGUUUGUAGCAAUCUUUCUUCUCCUUGAUAGCCUUUUGGACAUCUUCGUUCCACCACCAAGUGUCUUUAACUUCCCUUCUGUUCCCUUGACUCAACCCAAACUCUUCUGAAGCUAUCUUUCGGAUGCAUGUCGCCAUCUUCCUCCACAUGAUAUUUGCGUCUUCCUCUCCUGCCCAAGGGCCCUCCUCGAUAACUCUCUUCUUGAAAGUUUGGGCCACAUCCCCUUUAAGCUUCCACCACUUUGUUCUAGUGACCUUGUUAUGCUUAUUUCGUUGUAAACGAAUCUUAAAACGGAAGUCAGCAACGACAAGCUUAUGUUGGGUUACCACACACUCUCCAGGUAUAACCUUGCAAUCUAAGCAGGCAUGCCUGUCCUCUUUUCUCAAGAGGACGAAAUCAAUCUGGCUAGUGUGUUGGCCACUACUGAAGGUCACCAGGUGGGAUUGCCUCUUCUUAAAGAAAGUGUUUGCUAUAAACAUGUCAUAGGCUAGGGCAAAGUUCAGGAUUUCCUCUCCUUCUUGAUUCCUAGUCCCAAAGCCGAAGCCUCCAUGUACACCCUCGAAACUGGUGCUAGAUGUACCCACAUGGCCAUUGAGAUCUCCUCCUAUGAAGAGCUUCUCGCCAACUGGCACACUACUAACCAUGUCCUCUAGGCCUUCCCAGAACUCUCUCUUUGAGUUCUCAUUAAGGCCUACUUGAGGAGCAUACGCGCUGAUAACAUUGAGAACCAAGUCUCCAAUGACCAGCUUGACUAGGAUGAUUCUAUCUCCUACCCUCUUAACAUCUACUACCCCAUCUUUGAGGCUCUUGUCGAUCAAGACGCCUACUCCAUUCUUGUUUGUUGCAGUCCCCGUGUACCACAACUUGAAACCUGUACCUUUCACUUCCUUCGCCUUCUGUCCCUUCCACUUGGUCUCUUGAACGCAUAAAAUAUUUACCCGUCUCCUCACCGCAACGUCAACUAUUUCUCGUAACUUACCUGUUAAGGAACCUACGUUCCAACUGCCUACACGGACCCUAGUUGGCUCGACUAGCUUCCUUACCCUUCGCACCCGCCGAGGAAGAUGCAAAGACCCUUGCUCAUUUUUCACUACACCCGGGCGCCGAUGUAGCGCGCCACUAAGGAUGCGACGACCCGAUCCUUGCUCACUUAUCACCGGCUCCAGAUCAAGAGACAGCGCGUCACUUGAGGGGUGACGACCCGGCCCUUGCUCAUUUAACACCAUACCCGGGUUCCGAUAUGGCGCGUCGCUAAGAGGGUUACGCCCCAACGGUUUUCUUUGUGGUUUCAUCUCCAUAAGAUUUGGCUGGUUUUUUACGUUGGUUUGCCGGACCUAACACAACCCUCCUCCUUUACCGGGCUUGGGACCGGCUAUGUUGAAACGACUCAAGGAAGUCUUCCAAUCAACAUAGGCGGAGUUUAAGAUCAGCAGUAAUGAAGUAUAAAUCAUCGUUGUGGUGUGCUACUCGGUUAAUUGAGCAUUAACACACACAAACAUGACGAGGAUGGUAUAAUCUCCCAAAAUGUGUACUUUGUUAGGUGGGACCCUAUAGCCUUGCAGAAUGUGCUACGUUAGGCAUGCCGAUGGAAACGUGUGACGCAUACGUUUUGUGAACCUGUUGAUAUUAUAUGUGCUUUUAUAUUACCAUAUUUUAUUAAAACACUAAUAUUUAUUACUAGUAAGAUAUAACAUUCUAUCUAGCUUAAAAACUAACCAUAAAUAUUCCAUAAUAACUAGAUUUACCAAACUAAUAUACUAAAUAUACAUAAUAAAUACAAAAUUAACAAGACAAUAAUCAAUAUUUAUGAGCUUAAUAUAUUUAGACAUUAUGGUUGGUCGACGAUAAUCAUGCUAACUUUCCGUAAUUGCUUGAUUGUAAAUAUGCUUAGACUAAUGCCUCUUUGUUCUACAUGGCAAAUAGGGACCACUCUAGGAGACUAGGAUGUUGCUUGAGAUGAAAAUGUCAGAAUUGGUGUAGACUAAUUUCUAUCGGCCGCUGACUUCACUAUUGUAACCAUUAUAUCUUGGGUAAAUUAUAUACGAUUAUCCAGCCAAAGGGCCCAGAUGAUAAAAAACAAUUUUUAAUUGCUAUUUUAGGACAAAUGAAUUAGCAUGGUUCGAAGGAUUACGACCUUCCCCCCAUGACCUUUGUCAUACUGCUUUAGUCUAAUCGACAAAACCAAGAUUAGUUAUCAUCGAAGAAGUUCAUAAGCGAAGUUGUGACGAUGAAAGGAACAUGGUGGUAAUUGGACGAACGACGACACCUUUGUCUAAGAAUGGCAUCUAGAAGAAAUCUCAGACAAAAUAAGACAUGAAUGGCUUGUCAGUACAGCGCAAAUACUGAAACAUGCGCCCUUGAAUAUGAAACAUUUAUAUGUAAGAGGAAGGGAUAAAAAAACUAAUUACUCGUGCCUAAUGAUUUUAUUGGGAAUUUUAAGGCGAGACUUAUGGCAAAGGGUUAUACCAAAAAUAGGGGAGAGAUUAUUUCGAUACUUAUUCACUUGUUUCCCUUCAAAUGGCCAUACAUGUGUUACUUUUUUUGGCUGCCUCGCAUGGUCUUAUCGUUCAUCAGAUGAAUGUUAAGACUGCUUUCCCAAAUGGAGAGCUUAAGGAACAGAUCUACAUUGACUAGCCUAGUGGUUUUAUAUCAAAUGGUAAAGAGGAAAAGGUGUUUAAAAUAAUUGUUUGGUUUAAAACAAGCACCAAAGCACAUGAGAAAAUCGAUAAAGUUCUGACUUUGGCUAAAUUUGUUGUAAAUGAAGUUGAUAAAUGUGUCCAUUACCAGUUUGACAGGGGCGAAGGUAUGACCUUUUUAUAUGUGGACAAAAUAUUAACCUUUUGUAACGAUGUUAAUAUGAUAGAAGAAGUAAAGUAAUUUUUGUCUAGUAACUUAGAAAUAAACAAUCUGGGAGAGGCUAAUGUUGUUCUUAACAAAGAGAUGUUGAGAGAAGGAGGAAAUAGAGGGUUACUCUUGUGCAAUCCUAUUAGGUUGAAAAGUCGCUGAGUCGCUUUGGAUAUAGUGAUUACACGUCUGGUCCAACAACUUAUGACCCAAGUGUGUUAUUAAGGAAAAAUCAUAUAAUUGCAUAUGAUCAAUUGAGAUAUUGUCAAAUCAUGGUCUUCUCAUAUAUUUGGCAAGCCCAACGAUGUCUCAUAUCUGAUUUGUUAUGAGCAAACUCAGUUGCCUUGUCUCCAAUCUAGGGGAGGAUCAUGACAUGCCCUAGAGAGGGUAUUGCGCUUUCUCAAAGGGAUAUGAGUAAUGUCAUUUACUAUACUAGGCACCUAAGAGUACCAGAGUGUUAUAGUCAUGCAAAUAGGAUAUCUGAUGUUGAUUAGAUUUAUGCCACAAGUAGACUUGUGUGCUUCCUUGGAGGUGUGAUUGUUUCAUGGAAGUCUUGUAAGUAGACCAUCUUAACAAGGUCAACAAUAGAAGUAGAACUCACAACAUUAUAUACUACCAAAGUUGAAGUUGAUUGGCUCCGUGAACUCCUUACGGAUUUACCAGUAGUUGAAAAACCAAUACUGGUUAUCUCUAUGAGCUACAAUAAUCAAACAUUUGUAAUCGAAGUAAACAGUUCUAAAGUUAACAUGAUGUCUACAAAGCAUGUAAAAAUGGUUGAAACUGUUAAAACACUAAGAAACUCUAGAUUAAUUAUGUUGGACUAUAUCCAUACAUCGAAUUUGGUAUGCCAGUUUACAGAAGAUUUGUCACAUAAUAUGAUUCAAGGUGCAUCGAGGAAUAUGGGCUUGAGACCCACUUAAUGUCAAUCCAUAGUGGUAGCAGUUUCUAUGUGAUUGGAGAUCCCAUAAAGUAGAAUGGUGAAACAAGCUAGAGAAUGACUGAUGGAGAGACUCCUUAAAUAAAAUCUUGAUAAUUUGAGAUGCACAUUUCUCAUUUGAUGUAUUGUAGGCGAACUAAAAUCUUAAUAUGAUUUGAGUGACUUAUCUAAGCAGGGAUGUUAUCUUACAGAACAUCCUAGAAAGAACACACCUAUAUGAGUUUGCAUGUUAGUCAUAGUCUAUCAUGUGUGGUAAUCUUUAUAUACUCAUGAAAGGCUUGAAGUUUGACUUAUAUGCUUCAAACCAAGGGGGUGCUUGUAACAGUCUAGUACAAGAUAAGAACAUUGGUAAAACUCACUUAACGCAAAAUUGUCAAUUUAAGGCAUAGUUCAUUGUUUAGAUGUGAAUGUGUAAUCCCUGUUCUAGAUGGAUGGUCAACUUAACAGCCUCCACCAAAACCCUGAUAUCUCAAAGAGUAGUGGAUUUGAGUUUGUCUAAUAUGUGGUUUAGAUUUUGGUGGGGAAUUUUAAUAUUUUAUGGGCUUGGCCCAUUUAAGGUAUUUAAUACUUUCAAAAGACAAGAUUAAACAUGUGUGAAUAGUGUCAUGAUUUUUUUCUAGUGCAAAAUAGCCCAACAAAUCAACACAUAUGUGGCUAUCAUUACACAUGUGUAAAGGUAAUGCAUCACACCAUUGUCACCCAUGUAUUUAGAAAAUACCAAGAAGAAAAACAACUUGUUUAUUGUAUUUUAUGGAGAUUAUCUUGCUUACAUAUAAUUAUAACCCAACAAAGUGGUCACUAAAUGUCAAAACCAACUAGGUACCAGGUCAUCUCUAGCUUAUCUUGCUAAUGAUAUUUUUGCAAAAUCCAAAAUUAAUCUUGCACAAGCACAAGGACUGAGAUGUGUAUAAAAAUCUCUUAGAUUAGUAGGUAAUCCAUCACACAAAGCGCAAUAGUGUAGCAAAACUGGCAGUCAAAAUAUUUUGCCUCCUUAUGCUCCUUGCUCUUUCUGCAAGUGCUGCUAACGCGACCAAUUUUCUGCAAUGCUCACAAGAUCCAAUUGCUUCCCUUCUUCCCUCAUACCUCUCACCAGCGACAUCUUCAGUAUGUGAAAACCCAAUUCUUCAACCCUAUAGGAUCCAACAGGCAAUCACAGCAAGCAUCUUACCUUUAUCACCCUUGUUCCUCCAACAACCGCCAGCCCUGUUACAACAAUUACCUUUGGUGCAUUUGUUGGAACAAAGCAUCAAGGCACAACAACUACAACAACCUGUGCUGACAAACCUUGUUGCCUACUCUCAGCAACAAUAGUUUCUUCCAUUCAACCAACUGGCUGCACUGAACUCUGCUGCUUAUUUGCAACAACAACAACAACUUCCAUUCACCCAGCUAGCUGCUGCCUACCCCCAACAAUUUCUUCCAUUCGACUAACUGGCUGCAUUGAACUCUGUUGCUUAUUUACAACAGCAACAACUAAUACCAUGAAACCAGCUAGCUGUUGCGAGCCCUGCUACCUUCUUGACACAACCACAGUUGAUGUCGUUCUACCUGCAAGCUGUGGCUAACGUCGGCACCCUCUUACAACUACAACAAUUGUUGCCAUUCAUCCAACUUGCUUUGACAAACCCAAUAGUGUUCUACCAACAACCCAUCAUUGGUGGCGCCCUCUUUUAUAUUUCUUAUGGGUUAUAGUUCAAUAAUGAAGUUUUUGGCUGAUGUUUGUGGCUUCCCAGAAAUAAGAAAGUAUAUUUCUAGAUUCUUAUGUGCUACUAGUCUCCAAAUGUGGUUGAUAAUUAUGUUGCUCUAAGAACGGGAGUAAUGAGGUAUAAAUCAUUGUUGAGGUGUGAUACUCGGGUAGUUGAGCAUUAGCACGCACAAAUAUGAUGAGGACGGUAUAAUCUCCAAAAAUAUGUACUUUGUUAGGUGGGACCCUAUAGCCAUGCAGAAUGUGCUCUGUUAGACACGUCGAUGGAAACGUGUCACACAUACGUUUUGUGAACCUAUUGAUAUUGUAUGUGCUUUUAGUUGUGUGGUGCUAUAGAUAUGAGGGCUUGUUUCACGUAAUGAGCUAGGGUAGAAAAAUAAUUAUUUGCCUUGGAUUGUUAUGGAAGAACAUACCAAUUGUGACUGCCAUCUCAAUCUAGCUAACAUCUAAGUGACCUAAAAGGAGAGCAUAAGGAACUGAUCUACAAUGACUAGCCUAGUGGUUUUAUAGGAAAUGGCAAAGAGGAAAAUGUGUUUAAGUUAUUACAAUUGUAUGGUUUAAAACAAGCACCUAAGCACAUGAGAAAUUUUAUGAAGUUCUGACUUUGGCUAAAUUUGUUGUAAAUGAAGCUGAUAAAUGUGUCUAUUGCUAGUUUGAGAGGAGGGAUGGCAUGACCUGUUUUUUAUAUUUGGAUGAUAUAUUAAUCUUUUGUAAUGAUGUUAAUAUUAUCGAGGAAGUAAAAUACUCUUUGUGUGGUAACUUUGAAAUAAAUGAUUUUGGAGAGGCUAAUGUUGUUCUUAACAUAAAGAUGUUGGGAGAAGGAGGAAAUAGGGGGUAACUCUUGUGAAUCCUAUUAGGUUGAAAAGACAUUUAGUUGUUUUGGAUAUAGUAACUACACAUCUGGUCAAAUUACUUAUGACACAAGCGUGUUGUUAAGGAAAAUGAUAUAAUCGCAUAGAAUCAAAUGAGAUACUAUCAAAUCAUGGUCUUCUCGUGUAUUUGGCUAAUCCAACGAGGCCUAAUAUCUCAUUGCUAUGAUUAAACUUAGUCGAUUUGUAUACAAUGUAGGGGAUGAUCAUGGCAAGCCCUAGAGAGGGUAUUGCGCUACCUAAAAGGGACUAUGAGUAAUGUAAUUUACUAUACCAGGCACCUAAGGGUACCAGAGUGUUACAAUGAUGCAAACAAGAUAUCUGAUGGUGACGAGAUUUAUGCCACAAGUGGAUAUGUGUGCUUGCUUGGAGGUGUGAUAGUUUCAUGGAAGUCUUGUAAGUAUACCAUCUUAACAAGAUCAACAAAACAAGUAGAACUGGCAACAUAAGAUACUACCAUAGUUGAAGCUAAGUGGCUUCUUGAACUCCUUAUGGAUUUACCAGUAGUUGAAAACUAAUAGUGGUUAUCUCUAUGAUCUAUGAUAAUCAAAUAGUCGUAAUCAAAGUGAACAGUUCUAAGGAUAACAUGAAUUCUACAAAGCAUGUCAAAAAGCGAUUGAAACUAUUAGAACACUAAGAAUCUCUAGAGUAAUUGUGUUGGACUAUGUCCAUACAUCUAAGAAUUUGGUAGGUCGAUUUAGAGAAGGUUUGUCCAUAAUGUGAUAGAUGGUGCAUCGUGUAAGAUGGGCUUGAGACCCUCUUAAUGCCAUUCCUUAGUGGUAGCAUGUUCUAUGUGAUUGGAGAUCUCGUGAAGUAGAAUGGUGAAACAAGAUAGAGAAUGACUGAUGGAGAGACUCCUUAAAUAAAAUCUAGGUAAUUUGAUAUGCAUAUUUCUCCUUUGAUGUAUCGUAGGCUAACUAAAAUCUUAAUAUGAUCGGAGUGAUUUAUCUAAGCAGGGAUGUUAUCUUAUAGAACAUCCUAGAAGGAACACACCUAUAUGAGUUUGACUGCUAUUCAUAGUCUAUGAUAUUUGGGAAAUCUUUAUAUACACCUGAAAGGCCUAGAAAUGUGACUUCUAUGCUUCAAACCAAGGGGAUGCUUGUAACAAUCUAGUAUCAGAUAAGAACUUUGGUGAAACUCACUUCAUGCAAAACCGUUAAUUCAAAGCAUAGUCCAUUGUUCAGAUGUGAAUGUAUAACCCAUGUUCUAGAUGGAUGGUCAACUUAAUAGCCUCCACCAAGACCAUGAUAUAUCAAAGAGUAGUGGAUUUGAGUUUGUCCAAUAUGUGGUUUAGAUUUUGGUGGGGAAUGUUAAUAUUUUAUUGGCUUGACCCAUUUAAAGUGUUUAAUAAUUUUGAAAGACAAGAUUAAACAAAC
RNAcentral lists this long non-coding RNA (35863 nucleotides) under Zea mays. RNAcentral's name for it is "long non-coding RNA (ZMAY_LNC002145)". The record is from RNAcentral. Lineage: Eukaryota; Viridiplantae; Streptophyta; Magnoliopsida; Poales; Poaceae.